This 1641-nucleotide ribosomal RNA is filed under the name Providencia rettgeri. RNAcentral describes it as "partial 23S ribosomal RNA". It matches the Rfam family "Bacterial large subunit ribosomal RNA", at positions 1242 to 2925 of the family's 2925-position model. The record is from RNAcentral. Lineage: Bacteria; Pseudomonadati; Pseudomonadota; Gammaproteobacteria; Enterobacterales; Morganellaceae.
UGUAAGCCUGUGAAGGUGUGCUGUGAGGCAUGCUGGAGGUAUCAGAAGUGCGAAUGCUGACAUAAGUAACGAUAAUGCGGGUGAAAACCCGCACGCCGGAAGACCAAGGGUUCCUGUCCAACGUUAAUCGGGGCAGGGUAAGGCGAGGCAGAAAUGCGUAGUCGAUGGGAAACGGGUAAUAUUCCCGUACUGGUGAUAAUUGCGAUGGGGGACGGAGAAGGCUAGGCUAUCCGGCGACGGUUGUCCCGGUUUAAGGAUGUAGGCAGGUGAAUUAGGCAAAUCCGGUUCACUAUAUGCUGAGGUCCGACGACGAGUCACUACGGUGAUGAAGUAGCUCAUGCCCCGCUUCCAGGAAAGCCUCUAAGCUCUAGGAUUAUCAUUAAUCGUACCCCCAAACCGACACAGGUGGUGGUAGAGAAUACCAGGCGCUUGAGAGAACUCGUGAAGGAACUAGGCAAAAUGGUGCCGUAACUGGGAGAAGCACGCUGGCAUUAGGUGAAGUGAACUCAUGGAGCUGAAGCCAGUCGCAGAUACCAGCUGGCUGCAACUGUUUAUUAAAAACACAGCACUGUGCAAACACGAAAGUGGACGUAUACGGUGUGACGCCGCCCGGUGCUGGAAGGUUAAUUGAUGGGGUUAUCCGUAAGGAGAAGCUCGAUCGAAGCCCCAGUAAACGGCGGCCGUAACUAUAACGGUCCUAAGGUAGCGAAAUUCUUGUCGGGUAAGUUCCGACCUGCACGAAUGGCGUAAUGAUGGCCAGGCUGUCUCCACCCGAGACUCAGUGAAAUUGAACUGCUGUGAAGAUGCAGUGUACCCGCGGCAAGACGGAAAGACCCCGUGAACCUUUACUAUAGCUUGACACUGAACAUUGAGCCUUGAUGUGUAGGAUAGGUGGGAGGCUUGAAGCGUGGACGCCAGUCUGCGUGGAGCCAACCUUGAAAUACCACCCUUAAUGUUUGAUGUUCUAACGUUGCCCCGUUAUCCGUGCGGACAGUGUCUGGUGGGUAGUUUGACUGGGGCGGUCUCCCAAAGAGUAACGGAGGAGCACGAAGGUUGGCUAAGCAUGGUCGGACAUCAUGCGGUUAGUGCAAAGGCAUAAGCCAGCUUGACUGCGAGAGUGACGGCUCGAGCAGGUACGAAAGUAGGUCUUAGUGAUCCGGUGGUUCUGAAUGGAAGGGCCAUCGCUCAACGGAUAAAAGGUACCCUGGGAUAACGGCAGAGUUCAAGAUCAUAUCGACCCUGAUGUCGGCUCAUCACAUCCUGGGGCUGAAGUAGGUCCUAAGGGUACGGCUGUUCGCCGUUUAAAGUGGUACGCGAGCUGGGUUUAGAACGUCGUGAGACAGUUCGGUCCCUAUCUGCCGUGGGCGUUGGAAGAUUGAAAGGGCUGCUCCUAGUACGAGAGGACCGGAGUGGACGCACCACUGGUGUUCGGGUUGUCAUGCCAAUGGCAUUGCCCGGUAGCUAAGUGCGGAAGAGAUAACCGCUGAAAGCAUCUAAGCGGGAAACUUGCCUUGAGAUGAGUCUUCCCUGACUCUUUAAGGGUCCUAAAGGAACGUUUAAGACUAAGACGUUGAUAGGUUGGGUGUAAGCGUAGCGAUACGUUGAGCUAACCAAUACUAAUGAACCGUGAGGCUUAACCUG